CUAAACAUUAAUUUAAAGAAUAAGUUGAAGUUGGAAAAGAUAAUAUAAAGUUAUGUGAUGAUAAAUAACAAUUAAGCACUUGUAUUUAGUUUUGAAAUGCAUUACCUUAAAAGGUUUAUUAAUAUUGAUUAACUUCAUUCCUAGAAUUGUUUUACCAAAGAUGGGAAAAUAAAAAAUGCCGCUAACAUGAAAUCAUCUGAGUAGCUUUUCUUUAAAGCAUUCAAUACUGAAACAUCAGAAUAAAUAUAAAAAUUAUUUUAGAGCAAUAUGCAAAGAUACCUCAUCAACUUAUAUCAGGAAAUGUAGCAUAAUCAUAAUGAAAAUAACAUUCUGUCAUAACUAUAACAAUAUAGAGGACAUUUGAUUUAUCAUUGCCUUGCCAAAUAGUCUCAAAAAUCAAUAUAAUCAAUGAUUUAUUUUAAAUGCCCUACAUAGUCUCUGUUAAAUAAAACUAAAAUCAUAGAUAUAUUUCAAUGUAAAAUACCUUUGUAAAUCCAUACUGUUUUAUAAUCCAAGGUUUUGGGAUGGAUAUUAAAAUAUUUGGUCAUGAUUGUCUUUU
This 559-nucleotide long non-coding RNA is filed under the name Selaginella moellendorffii. RNAcentral describes it as "long non-coding RNA (SMOE_LNC001355)". Lineage: Eukaryota; Viridiplantae; Streptophyta; Lycopodiopsida; Selaginellales; Selaginellaceae. The record is from RNAcentral.